UAGUUUCAAAUCCCAUCCUCCACUCUCCUGCGUAUUCGUAUAAAUACAUAUACAGGACUGCUCAAACCUUUUCGAUUUGGUCCCAGAUUCAUUUACCAGAAGCUAUAUUCGUUUGAAAAAUAGAGGAUGGUGGGGAGUGGUACUAGGGUUUCGAUUACGGCGGAUACCAAGAAGACGAAGAGAUCACUGCUGGGAACUAUAGUGAGGAUGAGAUUCACGCAAUCCUCCUUGUAUGCAAUAUGAAUCCCAUGACGCUGCUCAACGCCUUCGUCUUCAGGACGAAAUCAAUGUUAUAAAGAGAUCAUCUAUCAGUAAGUUCUUAGAGCUUUCUGAUCAGACACCAUACUCUGGUCAGUUAAGACGAUAGCCAUGUUUAUUUAGGACAUCUUUAAUCCAGAGUUGAUCUACUGACAGUACUCAUGCUAGUAAUGUUUGCAAGAUGGCCAUAAAUGUUGUUGUCUGUUUUUUUUGUGUGUGUCGUACCUGUUAAAUAACCGGCUAUUUAUCCCUUAUUGCAUUGGAUCUUUAUAUACUUAGCUGUAUCUUUAUAUACCUAGACAUAUUCUUUGUAUACUUAGCCAUAUCUUUGUAUACUUAUCUGUAGCUUUAUAUACUUAUCCGUAUCUUUGUAUACUUAUCCGUAGCCUUAUAUACUUAGCCGUAUAUUUGUAUACUUAUCCGAUCCGCCAUGAUCUUUGAGCAACAAGAUAACCUUUAAGUGAUGCUAUUGCUUUGUUUGAUGACUAGAUCAGGUCACUAGUUGAUGCUAUUGUUUUGUUUGAUGAGCACAUAAUGGCUUCUGGAUAUCAAUCUUUGGAACCAUCAAUGAACUGCCUAGUCAACAACCUCCACAAAAGCACCUUGGCAAAUUACGUGUAUACUGGAAUCAGAGGAGCAGCGUAUGUGGACUUCUUGGACAGUGCAUAGGAGUUGUGUCGGACGCGAUGUUCUUUGUGAUUCUUUACGAGCAAAUGCUAUCAACAUAUCUAUAACUAACUGCUAGACUGUUAACAUAUUUAAUACCCUUCAAUGUUAGACUGCUAACAAUUUUAAUAGCAUAUAACCAUUUAUCUGUUUAUGUAUCUUCGAAUAAUAUUGUGGUAUUGUUAGCAUGUUUUAUGACAUUGUUAGCAUGUCAGCAUAUCUAUUAACAUAUAACAGUGUUCUUUAAA
Molecule: long non-coding RNA, 1172 nt
Organism: Brassica rapa (field mustard)
Lineage: Eukaryota; Viridiplantae; Streptophyta; Magnoliopsida; Brassicales; Brassicaceae
Source: RefSeq, a predicted model, not a curated record